CUUUUAUUAUAUUUAUUAUUUAUUAUACAUUAUCAUCUAUUUAUUAUUUAUAUAUUUUAUAAUCUAUUAUACUCCUUUAUAGCUUUCCCCUCUGGCAACAGUGCAAAUUCCACAAAAGCAGGGCUUCUGUGUCUGUUUUACUAAUAUUUCUUGAGCACCUAGAACUAUGCCUGCCAAAGGAGAGGCUCUGCUGAAUAUGGAAGGGUGCAAACAGUAGAACGAACCUGGACCACUGAACCCCUGAAUUAUCCAACCAUCUUACUUCUGGACUUCUUAUUUUGUGACUAAAAAAUUCCUUUUGAAAUGAGAGUUAUUUGUGAUUGAGAUCUGGUUUACUUAAGAGCCAAAAAACACAGGAAGGCCCUUGCCGGAUGCCAGCAACUUGAUAUUAGAUUUCCCAGCCUACAAAACUAAAUUCUGGAAUAUCUCUUGAUUCAAUGACAAAAGUUACAAAAAGAGUUCUUUCUAAUUGCUAGGAUGUAUUUGCAUUUUGCCAUCAUUGGAAAUAUGCCCUUACCCAGAAUUCAUUCCAAAGUAAAGUCAGAGCAUAAGGAAAAUAGAAGUUCUCGGUGAUGCUGGCAGAGUGAAUAGAUUACAUCCAUGUUGUUAUGAGAGUCUGAAUCUGAACAUUGAAUCUGACCCUUCUGAGAGGACACCACACCACUAAAGGAAUCAAACAGAAGAUACAAAAUUUCUGCUCUCAGUUCUCUUCGUUGUAUAGUCAUUGCUGCUUCCGGUGAGCUUCAACUGUGGUGAAGAAAGACACCCACAUACCUAACAACAACAUAAGAGAGAAAGAAAAAAAUACAUUUAGCAAAGGUACAAGCAACAUGUUACAUGAUCACUGAGGAAGAAGCAGAUGUGUUAAAGUGUAAAAAGGAAGCUGUGAAAGAGAUAUCAAAAAUAGGAGGAAGAGAGAGAGAGAAAAAAUGAAAGAAGAUGUGUAAUCCUGGGCUGUAGCUACAUGGCCUCGGAUGUGGUGAACUGCAGACAGAGCAGUGUGGCAGCUGAAUGACAAACACAGCAAAUUGGAACAACAUAAACCCUCCGUAACUUUAACAUCAUAGCUGAUUAAGUUUUCUGGCAUGUACAAUGCAUCCACUGUGAGAAAUUCUGUAUCUCAGACAUGACUCACUGUUUAGCAUGUUUAUACCAUUAGGAAAUACUAAAGAUGUUUCCUCAAGCG
Molecule: long non-coding RNA, 1186 nt
Organism: Gorilla gorilla gorilla (western lowland gorilla)
Lineage: Eukaryota; Metazoa; Chordata; Mammalia; Primates; Hominidae
Exons: 7
Source: RefSeq, a predicted model, not a curated record